Non-coding RNA from Aeromonas molluscorum 848, 125 nucleotides. The record is from Rfam. Lineage: Bacteria; Pseudomonadati; Pseudomonadota; Gammaproteobacteria; Aeromonadales; Aeromonadaceae.
UCACCACCAUCAUCAUCCCGAAUAGUCUUUCAGGAGGUUGGCUGCUGGAAGACACUUAACAGGUGACUUCCAAAAGGACCGCAAGAUUCAUAAACCCUCGGAAGCACACACUUCCGAGGGUUUUU